Molecule: long non-coding RNA, 1924 nt
Organism: Aegilops tauschii subsp. strangulata
Lineage: Eukaryota; Viridiplantae; Streptophyta; Magnoliopsida; Poales; Poaceae
Source: RefSeq, a predicted model, not a curated record
GCCAUCCCACUCCUCGAUACCUUCGCUAAUUAGGUGCUCACCUACGAGCGGUUUCUACUUUGAACGAGGAGGGCGCGGUGAGUGGUGGGGCUCGACGGCGUGAUGCUCGACGGAGAUUGUUGCCGCCCCUGUCCUCCUCUCCCCGUACACCAAUUAGGAGGUGACAGUGGCUGCGUCCGCCGCGGUGGAAGGGCGGAGGGGACGACAAUUUGAGCUGCGGCGACCGGCACCGCUGGCCACUGCAAAAUCCAGCCCUACAGUAACGGAGAAGCCUCUAGCGACAAGAACACGGUGGUGACUGCCAUCCUCCGAACUGCUGAUGAGGGAGAUUAGAAGAAGCUGGACGGGAAUGGGCUUUUUAUCAAACAAGAAGAGAAGUAGUACAAGGCUCCUGAGGAGAAAACACAAGGUUAUCUUCUUCGAUCCAGCCAAAUAUGGUAGCUCUGUCUCUUCUCUGGUUUAGAUUAUUCGUCCCUUCCUUUCUUUGAGCUCCACUGUUUUUGGAUGAACUGGACUAGCCCCUCUUUAAUCAAUUAAUUUCUCAUGGAAAGAAGGUAACGUUAGAAGAUAAUUGGAGCGUGCUUAAUUAGUUGUUCCUCUUUUCUGAUGGGGGCUGCAUCAUUUUUCUUUAUGAGAGAACCCCUAUUCCAGUGUAGGCUCUCUACUUGCUAUUGGAGAGAAAGAAAUUAAGUAGGACUAAUUAAGCAUGAUGACAUGUCUACCUAUAUUUAAUUAAACAUGAUGGGUUGCUUCCAUGUAAUUUGUAGUUAUUAGGUUGGAUGAUGAUUUACUCAUAUAAUUAGUUGUUGUACUUUGCUAGUUUUUCAUUUCUCAUUUGGUAACAGGAUAAAUUAAGCUCCAAGUAUAUGUAUCAAAAGAUAAAGAAACAUUAAUGCUCCACAACUUAUAGAGAAAUAUGCAUGUGACUGCCUGAAUGCUUGAUGCUGUUUGAGACUGGCAAAAGCUAGCUAGCAUACAUAUAGUCAAAAAGGGUCAUAUCAUCUAGAACAAAAGGUAGGCAUGAUGCUCAGUGUCUUUCUUUAAUUGAUACUAAUUAAUUCUGAAGCUGCAGAGGUGUCAUUCCUUUGUUUUGAUUGCCUAAUGAUUCCUUCCUGUCCUCAUUUGAUAUCCAAGCUGCUGAGGAGACACAUACAUACUAAUUAAUUCUGAAGCUAUAGAGGUAUCCUUAUUCGUGGUAAGAAUUUAGUAUGCGUAGCACAUGGAUGUAUGCUUGCACUGAUGUAUGCCUAUUUAGAACAGGGAAUGAAUGAGCAAAUACUCCAACUGCCUAUGUACGUGUUGCUUCUGAUUCUAGUUUUCUGACAUUGAUUUACGACAUGUGGUGUGAAUUAUUAUGCAGACAAUCAUCGUACCUAACGUGUUGAUGUGCACAUUGUAAGGAAACCGAAGAAGUUUCUUUGGGCAGAUGCACAACAAAGCAAUGCCACGUAGCCGGAACUUCUGACUAAUGCUUUGCCUUUCUCCUUGUCAAUUUUUUCCAUAUCCUAUUUUGGAUGCUUCUUACUGAAUACAGCUGCCAUUUCAGAUAUGAACUAUUCACCAUUGGGACGAGAAAUCCAUAGCUUCUGCAGUUCUAUCUGGAUAAGGCAUUUUGAAAGGAAACAACAGUCUAUCAUUGAAGUGUUGUGCAACGGAAAUAGUUCAGACUGCCUCAUGUAGUUUGUUACACAAAUUAACUAAUUUUUUUUUGCAAAUGAGGCCACGGUAGUAGUUCUUAUGGACAAAUGUGUGUGUGGCGGCAUCUAUUUUAGACCCCUUUGUGUUCCCAGCUUUUUGGAGUCACCGGGACAUGCCUUUUGUGUCAGGAUUCAUAUUUUAUGAUGGCGCCUAGAUUUCUUCCGUGACACAAUGUAUUUGUCACCUAGAAUUUUUAUCUGGCAUAAUGUAUUUUACAUUCCAUUUA